AUCCUCUCCAUCCACAGCUCGGCCCAGGGCCAAGCUUUGAGAGCUCAGGGGACAGGACUGUUGUCAGUGGUGGGGCUGGGGGUUAGGCGAGGAUGUUGGAACAGGGCCUCUGGCUGAGAGGGGCAAGCGGCCUCUCCUCUGUUGGCCCCUCAGCAACUCACUGCCCCUGUUUGGGCCUCUGUCUCCCCAUCAGGGAAAUGGAGGUAUGGUGAUUGUGUGGUGAUUGUGUGGUGCAGGCCUCACAGGGUGGUAAUGAGGUAAGAGGGAGGAAAGGAAUGUGGGACCUUUCUGCCUGCUCCACCUGGAGGGGUGAGGACCAGAACAAUGAUGACAGUCAUGCGACAGUGAGUCCUCAGGAGAACCUGCGAGGUAGCUGGAGUUCUCACACUUUCCAGAUGAGGAAACAGGCUCGAGGAGGCCAGGCCGAAAGCCCAAGCUCACACCCAGAGUGAGAGUUGGAGCUGGGCUUGUUCUGGAAUCACAAGACCUUGCAGGGUGGAGUGGCAUUGGUACCAGUUCACUCGAGUCAGAUGUUCAGGGUCAGAGGACAGUGGUGCUGGAGAGAAAUGGGGUGAGGGGAGUAUGGCCUCGCUGACACUGUCCUCGACUCUGGCAGGAGGGGCCCUCCACGUUUGUCCCCCGGAGAGCAACCCCCAGAGAGUGCAGGAGAAGCAGCAGCAGCAGCAGGUCAAACACCAAGGGUAGAGGUCGUCAAGAGAUCAAGUCUAAUCUACCUACGGGUGUGGCAGGCUUAACUAUGGAUGUUCAAGCCAGACAUUGCCAGAAGAACUACAUCUCUUCACCCAUAGAAAAAUGAAUGAUGUGACCAUUUGGUGCAGGACAACAGUAUUAUGUUCACCAGUCUCUGUACUGUAUGUUACUGCACAGCACGGACUGUAGGAGAAAGCCCAGAGGAGCAAUGAAGACAAAGAAGACACGACACCUGCAAAAAGUCAGUGGAGUAUUUCUACAUAA
Diceros bicornis minor is the source of this 975-nucleotide long non-coding RNA. RefSeq lists it as uncharacterized. The transcript has 3 exons. The record is from RefSeq and is a predicted model, not a curated record. NCBI's taxonomy places the organism in Eukaryota, Metazoa, Chordata, Mammalia, Perissodactyla, Rhinocerotidae.